Molecule: ribosomal RNA, 613 nt
Filed under: uncultured bacterium
Lineage: Bacteria
Description: partial 16S ribosomal RNA
Rfam family: Bacterial small subunit ribosomal RNA
Source: RNAcentral
CCUACGGGAGGCAGCAGUAAGGAAUAUUGGUCAAUGGACGCAAGUCUGAACCAGCCAUGCCGCGUGCAGGAUGACGGCCCUCUGGGUUGUAAACUGCUUUUGUACGGGAAGAAACCUCUCUACGUGUAGAGAGCUGACGGUACCGUAAGAAUAAGGACCGGCUAACUUCGUGCCAGCAGCCGCGGUAAUACGAAGGGUCCAAGCGUUAUCCGGAUUUAUUGGGUUUAAAGGGUGCGUAGGCGGCUUAUUAAGUCAGUGGUGAAAGACUUCAGCUUAACUGAAGAACUGCCAUUGAUACUGAUGAGCUUGAAUAUACUUGAGGUGGGCGGAAUGUGUCAUGUAGCGGUGAAAUGCUUAGAUAUGACACAGAACACCGAUUGCGAAGGCAGCUCGCUAAAGUAUGAUUGACGCUGAGGCACGAAAGCGUGGGGAGCAAACAGGAUUAGAUACCCUGGUAGUCCACGCCCUAAACGUUGAUAACUCGAUGUGUGCGAUAUACAGUACGCGUCCAAGCGAAAGCAUUAAGUUAUCCACCUGGGAAGUACGGUCGCAAGAUUGAAACCUCAAAUGAGUAGAGNGNGAGACGAGCGACGGACGACGACGAGGGAGGAGG